Molecule: long non-coding RNA, 1155 nt
Organism: Cyprinus carpio (common carp)
Lineage: Eukaryota; Metazoa; Chordata; Actinopteri; Cypriniformes; Cyprinidae
Source: Ensembl
AUGAUUGUAGAUGUUAACAGGGAGGCCGUAUUCCAGGCGACAAAGGUUCGAACCCAUCUGAAACAAGAUGGAAGCUGGAUCAACAGAUCUAAAAAUGUUGAGGACACACAGUCAGAUGUAAAAGCAAGUAAACCAAUAAAGCAAGGAAAACCUAAAAAUGUUUCAUCACCUGAAAGCAGUUCGAUCUCUUCCUCCGUCAUGCCAUGUACAGAGAGUACCACCACCUCCUCCAGCCUGGACUCGUCCACACCCCCUCAAAGCUCUUAUGUCGUGUCAGCCUUAAGGAAGUUUGAUGCACAUCCUGUCCUUGAGGACCCCAGGAGAGCACAUGUAGAGAAAGCAGUGGAGACAUCCAUAGCCAAAGCCACAGAGCAACCACUGAAGACACCAGCAGAUGCUUCUGUAAAGGACAUAGUGGAAAAACCAAUCGCUAUACCUGCAGACGAACCAUUGAAGACGCAUGCAGAUGUUUCUGUAAAGGACAUAAUGGAGAAACCUACAAAUAAACCUGUAGAGGAACCAAUGAAUAUGCAUGCAGAUGCUCCUAAAUUGGCUGUAGUGGAGAAACCUAUAGAGGAACCAUUGAAGACACAUGCAGACACUCCUAAAACAGACGUAGUGGAGAAACCUGUUAAAGAACCAUUGAAGACACAUGCAGACACUCCUAAAAUGUGCAUAGUGGAGAAUAUAGUUAAACCUGUAGAGGAACCAUUGAAGACACCUACAGAUGUUCCUGUAAAGAACAUAGUGGAGAAACCUGCAGAGAGACACACAGAGACUGUAGAGGGAACAAGGAAGACACCUGUAGAUGGAGCUUCAACAAAUCAAACACAAUCCAGUGGAGUGCUGCAGGAGAAAACAGUCAAAACCCUACAUGAGAACCCAGCAAAGCCUUCACUGACUACAGAGAAUAAAGAGGAUGAUACAGUUGAACAAGUCUCAAUAGCACAUGCACCUGUAGUAGAGGCUCUACUCGAACCCAGACAGGUAGAAAACCAGCCUACAAGUGAACAUGGGGAACUUUCACUAGUAUCUGCUCUGGAAACUCCAACUACAGAGUCAUCAACUAGAUCAACUACAGAACCAACCGAAGAACCCCGUGUGGCAGCCCUGGAAGAGAACCACAGACUGAACAGUCAAGCUCAAUUGAAGUAA